AACGAACGCUGGCGGCAUGCCUAACACAUGCAAGUCGAACGAGACCUUCGGGUCUAGUGGCGCACGGGUGCGUAACGCGUGGGAACCUGCCCUUAGGUUCGGAAUAACUCCCCGAAAGGGGUGCUAAUACCGGAUAAUGUCUUCGGACCAAAGAUUUAUCGCCUUUGGAUGGGCCCGCGUUGGAUUAGCUAGUUGGUAGGGUAAAAGCCUACCAAGGCGACGAUCCAUAGCUGGUCUGAGAGGAUGAUCAGCCACACUGGGACUGAGACACGGCCCAGACUCCUACGGGAGGCAGCAGUGGGGAAUAGUGGACAAUGGGCGAAAGCCUGAUCCAGCAAUGCCGCGUGAGUGAUGAAGGCCUUAGGGUUGUAAAGCUCUUUUAACCGGGAUGAUAAUGACAGUACCGGGAGAAUAAGCCCCGGCUAACUACGUG
This 433-nucleotide ribosomal RNA is filed under the name uncultured bacterium. RNAcentral's name for it is "partial 16S ribosomal RNA". It matches the Rfam family "Bacterial small subunit ribosomal RNA", at positions 29 to 507 of the family's 1533-position model. The record is from RNAcentral.